This is a long non-coding RNA of Pomacea canaliculata, 675 nucleotides long. RefSeq lists it as uncharacterized. NCBI's taxonomy places the organism in Eukaryota, Metazoa, Mollusca, Gastropoda, Architaenioglossa, Ampullariidae. The record is from RefSeq and is a predicted model, not a curated record. The transcript is spliced from 4 exons.
CACGUGACACCUUUGAUUAUAAAAGGCCGCCACUUCUUUCUCCAGACAAACAGGUUCCAGCCAUCGACAGCUUCCACCACAACUUCCACUUUCAUCACUCGUCAGAGAUCCUCACAGCCAUGAAGUCGCUGGUGCUGAUCCUGGUGUUGGCCGCAGCAAGCAUGUCGGCUCAUGUUCCAGAAGAACGAGACUUGCUUGCCACCAAUUCCUUGCUUUCGGUGGUCGAUCCCCUUUUGGCGUUGGCUACCUCACUACUGCCAACCCUCCUGUCUGUCCUCAUCCCCAUUGUUGCUGCUCUCCUGAAUGUUGUCGCGUCCUUAGCAGGCAGUCUGCUGGGUACCGCUCUUGCUGUCGUCCAUGGCCUUCUGACUAUUGUUAUUAACAUCGUGUCCCAACUGGUCGACUGUGUGACAGCCGCCAUCAACAUACCCGUCGGCAACAUUGUGAAACCCAUCCUGGGUACAGUCACCAGCGCUGUCUCCUCCAUAAUAUCAAAUCUCACAGAGGCAUGCCUGUAGUAGCUACGAUGGACAACUCUCCUCUUCUUGGGGGCAACCCAGUUCCUGACUCGAUGGGACGACAGAACUUGGAGAAAUCCCAUGACGCAUUCAAACUACUCCAUCAGCUACAGGGAGGUGAUUGUGUCAGAGAAUAAUAAACAUGGCUAAAACUAUU